CUCUCUGCGCCUGCGCCGGCGCUGUGAGCCCUUGCGAGGGCGGAGCUGCAUUCUUACCAGCACAGACAUCGCCAGGAGAGCAUCGCCAGGUCUGAGCUGAGUUCUCCUCUGCACAGACUUCGGAGAUACAGCGAAGGCGGAGCAGUGUUCUCCUCAGCACAGACCCAGGCGGGCCGGGGGCACCGCGAGGGCGGAGCUGCGUUCUGCUCAGCACAGACCCCGGGGACACCGCGAAGGCAGAGUAGCGUUCUCCUCACAACAGACCUUGGGGGCAGUGCCUCGCUUUGGGACAACUCGGGGCCGCAUAGACGGGAUCAUGGCACAAGUUGCAGUUUCCACCCUGCCCAUUGAAGAUGAGGAGUCCAUGGAAGAUGAGGAGUCAUUGAAGAUGAUUCUGCGGAGAGCAGGAUGGUGGUGACAUUGCUCAUAUCAGCUCUCGAGUCCACAGAUCAUGGCACAAGUUGCAGUUUCCACCCUGCCCAUUGAAGAUGAGGAGUCUGUUGAAGAUGAUGAGUCCUUGGAGAGCAGGAUGGUGGUGACAUUCCUGCCAGCUCUCGAGUCCACGAUUCUCUGUUUCACCGAAUCUGGAGUGCAAUGAUGGAGUUUUAGCUAACUGCAGCCUCAACCACCUGGGCUCAAGCAAUUCCCCCGCCUCCGCCUUCCAAGCAUCUGGGACUACAGAUGGGAUCUUGCUGCGUUGCCCACGAUGGUGUCAGACUCCUGGCCUCAAGUGAUCAUUCUGCCUCACCUUCCCAAAGUGCUUGGAUUAUACAUAGGGAGUUUAUAGCUUCAUUGCACUGUGUGUGGCAUUUGGGUCCUGUUUGGCAGCAAUGACUGCCUUUCUGUUUAGUGUCUGUGUGCUAUGAAGAGUGCACACAGGGGUCCAGAUGCAUCCUGUUUUGAGAAUGUUAAUGGAUACACCAGCUGCUGCUUUGGAUUUCACCCAUUGGUGGUAGUUGACCCGCUGUUUGUUUGGAAUGCAGACAAUUUAAGUGAAGACAUAUCCAUAUAUGUGGCUCUGUUACAGUGGUGAAAUCUACAACCAUAAGAAGGUGCAGCACCGUUUUGAAUUUGAAUACCAGACCAAAGUGGAUGGUGACAUAAUCCUUCAUCUUUAUGACAAAGGAGGAAUUGAGCAAACAAUUUGUAUGUUGGAUAGUGUGUUUACAUUUGUUUUACUGGAUUCUGCUAACAAGAAACUGUUCCUGGGCAGAGAUACAUAAGGAGUCAGACCUUUGUUUAAAGCAGUGACAGAAGAUGGAUUUUUGGCUGUGUGUUCAGAAGCUAAAGGUAAUAGUAAAUUUAUCUAUAGAUUUCCAUUAUUGUCUUGGUCGUGUGUUUUCUUUUAAAUUAUAUUUGAAAAUCUCUUAGCUAUCCAGAAUUUUACAAGUGACUAAUUAAUUUGUGAGUUCUUACCUUUUUUAAAAAAACAGAGGAGUUGUACUCUCCUUUUCAGCACUUAAAUUCUGUAAUCCUUGAAGGAUGGGUCUUUAGUGUAGUCAAUUAUUUUUGCUGUGCUAAUAUGCUCUGCAUCUAGCUUGAUCGUAAGUGCAGUUUUAAGUUUUCCUGUGUCAUACUGUAACGGUAGGGCUGGCUCUGCAAUUAUUGCCCUGCGGUACUUUGCCGCAGUUAUAGCACAGCAAAUAUUAGGAUUUCUAAAACAGCUUUAUUGGUAAUUCACAUGCCAUGUAAUUCACCCACUCAAAGUAUAUAGUUCAGUGGUUUUUAGUAUAUUCACAGAUGUUGGGAACCAACACUCCAAUCAAUUUUAGAAUUGUUUUUCCACCUCAAAAAAAAUUACAAAUGAAAUCCUAUGCCCUUUACCUUAUUUUAUUUCUAUUUAUUUAUUUUUUUAAGAGAUGGGGUUUUGCUCAGUCAACCAGCCCAGGCUGGAGUGCAGUGGUGUAAUCAUAGCUUAGUGCAGUCUUGAACUACUGGGCUCAAGCAAUCCUCCCAUCUCAGCCUCCCUAGUAGCUAGGAGUACAGGCAUGGACCACAACAUCCUGCCUCCUGUGCCUUUAGCUUUCAAUUCCGUCUCUCCACAUCCAUCAUCUGCAUCCCCGCAGUUGUAGCGCUGGCAAUCACCAAUCUUUCUGCCUCUGGAUUCCCUAUUACAUGUGUUUCAUAUAAAUGGGAUUAUCUAUCAUAUGGGAUUUGUUACUGGAUUCUGUCACUUGGCAUAAUGCUUGCAAGGUUUGUCUAUGCCGUAACAUGUAUCAGUACUUACUUUUUAUGGCCACAUGAUACUUUGUUACAUGGAUACACUGGAUUUUGUUUAUGCACUUGUCAGUUAAUGGACACUUAGGACAUUGUUUACCCCUUUUGGCUAUUACGAAUAAUGCUGCUAUAAACGUUGGUUUACAAGUUUUUGUGUAGACAUUUCUCUUCGGUGUUUAUCUAGGAGCAGAAUUGCUCAGAUGCAUGAUAACUGUCUAAUUGAGGAACUGCCAAACUGCUUUUUGAAAUGGCUGCAUUAUUUUUUAUUCCCUCCAGCAGUAUAUUAAAAUUUCAGUUGCUCCAC
This is a long non-coding RNA of Homo sapiens (human), 2521 nucleotides long. Ensembl annotates it as asparagine synthetase pseudogene. NCBI's taxonomy places the organism in Eukaryota, Metazoa, Chordata, Mammalia, Primates, Hominidae. The record is from Ensembl.